This 460-nucleotide ribosomal RNA is filed under the name uncultured bacterium. RNAcentral describes it as "partial 16S ribosomal RNA". It matches the Rfam family "Bacterial small subunit ribosomal RNA", at positions 338 to 794 of the family's 1533-position model. The record is from RNAcentral.
CCUACGGGAGGCAGCAGUGAGGAAUAUUGGCCAAUGGACGAGAGUCUGAACCAGCCAAGCAGCGUGAAGGAUGACUGCCCUAUGGGUUGUAAACUUCUUUUAUAUGGGAAUAAAAUGUUCCACGUGUGGGAUUUUGUAUGUACCAUAUGAAUAAGGAUCGGCUAACUACGUGCCAGCAGCCGCGGUAAUACGGAGGAUCCGAGCGUUAUCAGGAAUUAUUGGGUUUAAAGGGAGCGUAGGUGGAUGGUUAAGACGGUUGUGAAAGUUCGCGGAUCAACCGUGAAAAGCCAGUUGAGACUGGAAGAAUAGAGUGAGUGAGAGGGGAGUGGAAUUCAGAGUGUAGCAGUGAAGUGCGUAGAUAUGUGGAAGAAUAGAGAGGGAGAAGGAAGCCAAAUGUAAGGGAAAUGAUGCUGAUACAAGAAAGAGUGGGGAGCAAACAGGAUUAGAUAGAACUGGAGGC